CAGUCUGGAAUUCAGAUUCAGCGUCUGGACAUGCAAUAGUCAUCCUGAGAUAACACUAUCUAAAUUCCUUCCAAAGAAAGAUGGAGUUGGAAGCUUAAGGAGCAUUGGUCUCUGACUUCCAUGAACAGAUCCUGAAUUUCACUAGAGUCUUCAAGGGGAUCCAUUAAACACAACUUCUCUUCCCUGCCUGGAUUCUGGAUGACCUGAAAAGUAAGCUCGCCAGGUGAUCCUUUCUCUGCACAUUUUGUGCCAUCCGCUGCCCUCACCAGAUGCCAGAGCAAUGGAGCUUGGAUUGUGAACCUCCAAAACUGUAA
Molecule: non-coding RNA, 314 nt
Organism: Oryctolagus cuniculus (rabbit)
Lineage: Eukaryota; Metazoa; Chordata; Mammalia; Lagomorpha; Leporidae
Source: RefSeq, a predicted model, not a curated record